UACGUAGGGUGCAAGCGUUAAUCGGAAUUACUGGGCGUAAAGCGUGCGCAGGCGGUUGUGUAAGACAGAUGUGAAAUGCCCGGGCUUAACCUGGGAACUGCAUUUGUGACUGCACGGCUAGAGUGUGUCAGAGGGGGGUAGAAUUCCACGUGUAGCAGUGAAAUGCGUAGAUAUGUGGAGGAAUACCGAUGGCGAAGGCAGCCCCCUGGGAUAACACUGACGCUCAUGCACGAAAGCGUGGGGAGCAAACAGG
RNAcentral lists this ribosomal RNA (253 nucleotides) under uncultured bacterium. RNAcentral describes it as "partial 16S ribosomal RNA". It matches the Rfam family "Bacterial small subunit ribosomal RNA", at positions 524 to 776 of the family's 1533-position model. The record is from RNAcentral.